This 478-nucleotide ribosomal RNA is filed under the name uncultured organism. RNAcentral describes it as "partial 16S ribosomal RNA". It matches the Rfam family "Bacterial small subunit ribosomal RNA", at positions 329 to 798 of the family's 1533-position model. The record is from RNAcentral.
ACGUACACUCCUACGGGAGGCAGCAGUGGGGAAUUUUGGACAAUGGGCGAAAGCCUGAUCCAGCCAUGCCGCGUGCAGGAUGAAGGCCUUCGGGUUGUAAACUGCUUUUGUACGGAACGAAACGGCCUUUUCUAAUAAAGAGGGCUAAUGACGGUACCGUAAGAAUAAGCACCGGCUAACUACGUGCCAGCAGCCGCGGUAAUACGUAGGGUGCAAGCGUUCAUCGGAAUUACUGGGCGUAAAGCGUGCGCAGGCGGUUAUGUAAGACAGUUGUGAAAUCCCCGGGCUCAACCUGGGAACUGCAUCUGGGACUGCAUAGGUAGAGUACGGUAGAGGGGGAUGGAAUUCCGCGUGUAGCAGUGAAAUGCGUAGAUAUGCGGAGGAACACCGAUGGCGAAGGCAAUCCCCUGGACCUGUACUGACGCUCAUGCACGAAAGCGUGGGGAGCAAACAGGAUUAGAAACCCUAGUAGUCCCAU